RNAcentral lists this long non-coding RNA (387 nucleotides) under Gallus gallus (chicken). RNAcentral describes it as "lncRNA (ENSGALG00010000136.1)". Lineage: Eukaryota; Metazoa; Chordata; Aves; Galliformes; Phasianidae. The record is from RNAcentral.
CAUAGAGUCCCCAUAGACCCCCGUAGAGCCCCAUAGAGCCCUCAUAGAGCCCCAUAGACCCCUAUAGACUCCCAUAGAGCCCCCAUAGACCCCAUAUCUCCCCCCCCCUUUCCCCCCCCCACUUGUAGGGCCGGGGAUGGGCGCCCCAUUGGCGGUGGUGGGACAUAGGGACCCAUAGGGACCCCAUAGAACCCCAUAGAGACCCCAUAGAGCCCCAUAGAGUCCUCAUAGACCCCCAUAGAGUCCCCAUAGACCCCCAUAGACCCCCAUAGAGACCCCAUAGACCCUCGUAGACCCCCAUAGGGACCCCUUAGAGCCCCGUGGAGCCCCCAUAGACCCCCAUAGACCCCCAUGGAGACCCCAUGGAGACCCCAUAGAGCCCCAUAG